This 811-nucleotide ribosomal RNA is filed under the name uncultured fungus. Its description in RNAcentral is "SSU rRNA". It matches the Rfam family "Eukaryotic small subunit ribosomal RNA", at positions 556 to 1368 of the family's 1831-position model. Lineage: Eukaryota; Fungi. The record is from RNAcentral.
UUCGCCUUGUGCCAGCAGCCGCGGUAAUUCCAGUUCCAAUAGCGUAUAUUAAAGUUGUUGUGGUUAAAAAGCUCGUAGUUGAACCUUGGGCCUGGCUGGCCGGUCCGCCUCACCGCGUGCACUGGUCCGGCCGGGCCUUUCCCUCUGUGGAACCCCAUACCCUUCACUGGGCGUGGCGGGGAAACAGGACAUUUACUUUGAAAAAAUUAGAGUGCUCCAGGCAGGCCUAUGCUCGAAUACAUUAGCAUGGAAUAAUAAAAUAGGACGCGCGGUUCUAUUUUGUUGGUUUAUAGGACCGCCGUAAUGAUUAAUAGGGACAGUCGGGGGCAUCAGUAUUCAACUGUCAGAGGUGAAAUUCUUGGAUCAGUUGAAGACUAACUACUGCGAAAGCAUUUGCCAAGGAUGUUUUCAUUAAUCAGGAACGAAAGUUAGGGGAUCGAAGACGAUCAGAUACCGUCGUAGUCUUAACCAUAAACUAUGCCGACUAGGGAUCGGACGGUGUUAUUCAUGACCCGUUCGGCACCUUACGAGAAAUCAAAGUGCUUGGGCUCCAGGGGGAGUAUGGUCGCAAGGCUGAAACUUAAAGAAAUUGACGGAAGGGCACCACCAGGGGUGAAGCCUGCGGCUUAAUUUGACUCAACACGGGGAAACUCACCAGGUCCAGACACAAUAAGGAUUGACAGAUUGAGAGCUCUUUCUUGAUUUUUGUGGGUGGGGGUGCAUGGCCGUUCUUAGUUGGGUGGGGUGACUUUGUCUUGCUUAAUUUGCGAUAACGAACGGAGACCUUAAACUGGCUUAAAUAAGCCUCGAU